UCCUCGAAGGCCGCCCGCUGGCUCUGUC
Molecule: small RNA, 28 nt
Filed under: Bombyx mori (domestic silkworm)
Lineage: Eukaryota; Metazoa; Arthropoda; Insecta; Lepidoptera; Bombycidae
Description: piRNA piR-bmo-1870808
Source: RNAcentral